UGGGGAAUAUUGCACAAUGGGGGGAACCCUGAUGCAGCGACGCCGCGUGAGUGAAGAAGUAUUUCGGUAUGUAAAGCUCUAUCAGCAGGGAAGAAAAUGACGGUACCUGACUAAGAAGCCCCGGNUAACUACGUGCC
This 137-nucleotide ribosomal RNA is filed under the name uncultured bacterium. RNAcentral's name for it is "partial 16S ribosomal RNA". It matches the Rfam family "Bacterial small subunit ribosomal RNA", at positions 355 to 509 of the family's 1533-position model. The record is from RNAcentral.